Unclassified non-coding RNA from Microtus ochrogaster (prairie vole), 355 nucleotides. The record is from Ensembl. Lineage: Eukaryota; Metazoa; Chordata; Mammalia; Rodentia; Cricetidae.
CCUGCUGUUUAAACUUUAAGGCGACACCUAACUACAUUAGAGCCCUCCACCAGCAGGCUGAGGCGAACUUUAAAGAAAAACCAGGUCAUGCCGCAUGUUUUUGGUGAGCACAGGAAUCAACAAAGAGACGUUACAUAACUUCUAUUUAUGUCCUCCUUGCUCACUAUCUGCAGGCAGGCAAGAGUCGCAGAGCUGGGAUUUAAUGAGCUCUCUGGGUUUGCUCACCUUCCUGAGCUGGUAGGAACCAGCUUGUGCUCAAAAUGCGUCAGGAAAGAAUCAGGCUGUGGGUGGGCGGCCAGGGGUAGGUGGACUGCAUUGUUGCCAUGGUGUUUUUUUUUAAUUCCCCGUCUCUCAC